AAUAGAUACCCAGGUAGUCCACGCCGUAAACGAUGAAUGCUAGGUGUUAGGGGUUUCGAUACCCUUGGUGCCGAAGUUAACACAUUAAGCAUUCCGCCUGGGGAGUACGGUCGCAAGACUGAAACUCAAAGGAAUUGACGGGGACCCGCACAAGCAGUGGAGUAUGUGGUUUAAUUCGAAGCAACGCGAAGAACCUUACCAGGUCUUGACAUCCCCCUGACCGGUCUAGAGAUAGGCCUUUCCUUCGGGACAGGGGAGACAGGUGGUGCAUGGUUGUCGUCAGCUCGUGUCGUGAGAUGUUGGGUUAAGUCCCGCAACGAGCGCAACCCUUGACUUUAGUUGCCAGCAGGUAAAGCUGGGCACUCUAGAGUGACUGCCGGUGACAAACCGGAGGAAGGUGGGGAUGACGUCAAAUCAUCAUGCCCCUUAUGACCUGGGCUACACACGUACUACAAUGGCCGGUACAACGGGAAGCGAAGGAGCGAUCUGGAGCGAAUCUUUAGAAGCCGGUCUCAGUUCGGAUUGCAGGCUGCAACUCG
This 539-nucleotide ribosomal RNA is filed under the name uncultured bacterium. Its description in RNAcentral is "bacterial SSU rRNA". It matches the Rfam family "Bacterial small subunit ribosomal RNA", at positions 777 to 1314 of the family's 1533-position model. The record is from RNAcentral.